UACAGAGGGUGCGAGCGUUAAUCGGAAUUACUGGGCGUAAAGCGCGCGUAGGCGGCUUUGCAAGUCGGGUGUGAAAUCCCCAGGCUUAACCUGGGAACUGCAUUCGAGACUGCAUUGCUAGAGUAUGGGAGAGGGAAGUGGAAUUUCCGGUGUAGUGGUGAAAUGCGUAGAUAUCGGGAGGAACACCGGUGGCGAAGGUGGGUCUCUGGGCAUCUCCUGACGCUGAGGCGCGAAAGCGUGGGGAGCAAACGGG
RNAcentral lists this ribosomal RNA (253 nucleotides) under uncultured bacterium. Its description in RNAcentral is "partial 16S ribosomal RNA". It matches the Rfam family "Bacterial small subunit ribosomal RNA", at positions 524 to 776 of the family's 1533-position model. The record is from RNAcentral.